GCCCCGGUAGUGUAGCGGCCUAUCAUACGGGACUGUCACUCCCGUGACUCGGGUUCAAAUCCCGACCGGGGCG
This 73-nucleotide transfer RNA is filed under the name Candidatus Hydrothermarchaeota archaeon. Its description in RNAcentral is "tRNA-Asp". It matches the Rfam family "tRNA". From Rfam's summary of the family: Transfer RNA (tRNA) molecules are approximately 80 nucleotides in length. Their secondary structure includes four short double-helical elements and three loops (D, anti-codon, and T loops). The record is from RNAcentral. RNAcentral also lists the same sequence under 1 other name. Lineage: Archaea; Methanobacteriati; Candidatus Hydrothermarchaeota.